GACGAACGCUGGCGGCGUGCCUAAUACAUGCAAGUCGAACGAAGCUGUUUUAACUGGUGCUUGCACCGACUUAAACAACUGAGUGGCGAACGGGUGAGUAACACGUGGGUAACCUGCCCCAAAGCGGGGGAUAACAUUUGGAAACAGAUGCUAAUACCGCAUAACCACAGAAACCACAUGGUUUCUGUGUCAAAGAUGGUUUCGGCUAUCACUUUGGGAUGGACCCGCGGCGUAUUAGCUAGUUGGUAAGGUAAUGGCUUACCAAGGCAAUGAGACGUAGCCGAACUGAGAGGUUGAGCGGUCACAUUGGGACUGAGACACGGCCCAAACUCCUACGGGAGGCAGCAGUAGGGAAUCUUCCACAAUGGACGAAAGUCUGAUGGAGCAACGCCGCGUGAGUGAAGAAGGUUUUCGGAUCGUAAAACUCUGUUGUCAGAGAAGAACGUGUGCGAGAGUAACUGCUCGUGCAGUGACGGUAUCUGGCCAGAAAGCCACGGCUAACUACGUGCCAGCCGCCGCAGUAA
Molecule: ribosomal RNA, 524 nt
Filed under: uncultured bacterium
Lineage: Bacteria
Description: partial 16S ribosomal RNA
Rfam family: Bacterial small subunit ribosomal RNA
Source: RNAcentral